ACGAACGCUGGCGGCAUGCCUAACACCUGCAAGUCGAACGAGACCUUCGGGUCUAGUGGCGCACGGGUGCGUAACGCGUGGGAACCUGCCCUUAGGUUCGGAAUAACUCCCCGAAAGGGGUGCUAAUACCGGAUAAUGUCUUCGGACCAAAGAUUUAUCGCCUUUGGAUGGGCCCGCGUUGGAUUAGCUAGUUGGUAGGGUAAAAGCCUACCAAGGCGACGAUCCAUAGCUGGUCUGAGAGGAUGAUCAGCCACACUGGGACUGAGACACGGCCCAGACUCCUACGGGAGGCAGCAGUGGGGAAUAUUGGACAAUGGGCGAAAGCCUGAUCCAGCAAUGCCGCGUGAGUGAUGAGGGCCUUAGGGUUGUAAAGCUCUUUUACCCGGGAUGAUAAUGACAGUACCGGGAGAAUAAGCUCCGGCUAACUCCGUG
Molecule: ribosomal RNA, 432 nt
Filed under: uncultured bacterium
Lineage: Bacteria
Description: partial 16S ribosomal RNA
Rfam family: Bacterial small subunit ribosomal RNA
Source: RNAcentral